Molecule: ribosomal RNA, 235 nt
Filed under: uncultured bacterium
Lineage: Bacteria
Description: partial 16S ribosomal RNA
Rfam family: Bacterial small subunit ribosomal RNA
Source: RNAcentral
GAUGAACGCUAGCGGCGGGCCUAAUACAUGCAAGUCGAACGGGAUUGUUGGUAGCAAUACUGGCAUGAGAGUGGCGCACGGGUGCGUAACACGUAUGUAACCUACCUUUAACUGGGGAAUAGCUCCGAGAAAUCGAAAUUAAUACCCCAUAAAGUUUAGAAAGGCAUCUUUUCUUUACCAAAGUUCAGGCGGUUAAAGAUGGACAUGCGGUGCAUUAGCUUGUUGGUGAGGUAAU